RNAcentral lists this long non-coding RNA (812 nucleotides) under Vulpes vulpes (red fox). RNAcentral describes it as "lncRNA (ENSVVUG00000002083.1)". Lineage: Eukaryota; Metazoa; Chordata; Mammalia; Carnivora; Canidae. The record is from RNAcentral.
CGAAGCCUGGACUCCGGUGCCCUGUGUCACCUGGAAGCCACUUUUUCCUGGCUUCUUUCCGCCGGGCCCGGGUAGCGAGUAGGAGCGGAGACACCGGAGGAGCUGGCUGCGGGCGCGGAUCGGCUGAAGGGCGGGCACUUUGUCACUCUCUGCCGUCCCUGGGGCGCCAGCCCCUGGAACUUCAUUUAAUCCUGCCCGUAGCCUGCGCAGGGGCAUGAUUAACCCCACUGUACUGAUGAAGAAGCUGCACACCGGGAUGAGAACGGACUCGCCCUGGGGCAGGCCCCUGGAAAGGGACACGGAAGCUUCCCCCUCUGUCCUUUCCCCGCGGGGUAGGAAGCUCACGCGGCUGGGUCUGUUAGGAAACAGGUGAUUCUGAAACACACUCUGCCCCCUUUCUAGGUUCCUUGUUUUGUUUUUUGUCAGCACCGACCUUAUGCCUCAAAUUCGAACAAUUUUUGCAGAUGAGCGUUUUGAAGUGGAAGCAGCCCUGGCUCACAGCUCUUUUUCUUGCAGCGCUUUCUGCCGAUGCAGAGCGAGUUGCCAGGCACCCUCGCGGGCCACACACUGCUUUCUCCCGGUGGAUGAGGUCGCCUGCAGACCCGGGCUGGGCCUUAUGGGCUGCCCAGGUGUAGAAUUCCAUGGAGCAGAGUGUGGAGAGAUCUGGGAAGUGGCUGAGCUUUCUCUCUGGAGCAAAACAUGAAGAUGAAGUGGAAGAAAAGAUGUGGCAGAGAAGGAAAAGGUGCUAGAGCCCCAGGGGCAUGGGAUUCUGGCUUGGGAAAUGCCACCACCACUACAAAGGGAGAAAUGGG